Molecule: ribosomal RNA, 1368 nt
Filed under: Plagiostoma euphorbiae
Lineage: Eukaryota; Fungi; Ascomycota; Sordariomycetes; Diaporthales; Gnomoniaceae
Description: eukaryotic LSU rRNA
Rfam family: Eukaryotic large subunit ribosomal RNA
Source: RNAcentral
GAAAAGAAACCAACAGGGAUUGCCCUAGUAACGGCGAGUGAAGCGGCAACAGCUCAAAUUUGAAAUCUGGCUUCGGCCCGAGUUGUAAUUUGCAGAGGAUGUUUAUGGUGCGGUACCUUCCGAGUUCCCUGGAACGGGACGCCACAGAGGGUGAGAGCCCCGUCUGGUUGGAUACCAAACCUGUGUUAAACUCCUUCAACGAGUCGAGUAGUUUGGGAAUGCUGCUCUAAAUGGGAGGUAAAUCUCUUCUAAAGCUAAAUACUGGCCAGAGACCGAUAGCGCACAAGUAGAGUGAUCGAAAGAUGAAAAGCACCUUGAAAAGGGGGUUAAACAGUACGUGAAAUUGUUGAAAGGGAAGCGUUUAUGACCAGACUUGUGUCGUGUGGCUCAUCCGAGGUUCUCCCCGGUGCACUCCACACGGCUCAGGCCAACAUCGGUUCUUGUUGGAGGAUAAGAACAGUAGGAACGUAGCUCUCCUUCGGGGGAGUGUUAUAGCCUAUUGUACGAUACUCUGACGGGGACCGAGGACCGCGCUUCGGCUAGGAUGUUGGCGUAAUGGUCAUUAGCGACCCGUCUUGAAACACGGACCAAGGAGUCGUCCAUUAGAGCGAGCGUUUGGGUGUAAAACCCGCACGCGUAAUGAAAGUGAAAUUAGGUGAGAGCUUCGGCGCAUCAUCGACCGAUCCUGAAGUUUACGGAUGGAUUUGAGUAAGAGUUUUAACGGACGGACCCGAAAGACAGUGAACUAUGCUUGAAUAGGGUGAAGCCAGAGGAAACUCUGGUGGAGGCUCGCAGCGGUUCUGACGUGCAAAUCGAUCGUCAAAUUUGAGCAUGGGGGCGAAAGACUAAUCGAACUGUCUAGUAGCUGGUUACCGCCGAAGUUUCCCUCAGGAUAGCAGUGUUGACCUUCAGUUUUAUGAGGUAAAGCGAAUGAUUAGGGACUCGGGGGCGCUUAUUAGCCUUCAUCCAUUCUCAAACUUUAAAUAUGUAAGAAGCCCUUGUUACUUAAUUGAACGUGGGCAUUCGAAUGUACCAACACUAGUGGGCCAUUUUUGGUAAGCAGAACUGGCGAUGCGGGAUGAACCGAACGGGGGGUUAAGGCGCCAGAAUGUACGCUCAUCAGACACCACAAAAGGCGUUAGUACAUCUUGACAGCAGGACGGUGGCCAUGGAAGUCGGAAUCCGCUAAGGACUGUGUAACAACUCACCUGCCGAAUGUACUAGCCCUGAAAAUGGAUGGCGCUCAAGCGUACUGCCCAUACCCCCCCUUCAGGGUAGAAACGAUGCCCUGAAGAGUAGGCGGCCGUGGAGGUUGUGACGAAGCCUAGGGCGUGAGCCCGGGUCGAACAGCCUCUAGUGCAGAUCUUG